CUGUUUUGUCAAUCUUAAUGUCCGUGUUUUAGUGUUUUGUGUUUGUUUUUGUUUUUGUUUGAGAGAGUCUCACUCUGUCGCCCAGGCUGGAGUGUAGUGGCGCAAUCUCGGCUCACUGCAACCUCUGCCUCCUGGGUUCAAGCGAUUCUCCUGUCUCAGCCUCCCAAGUAGCUGGGAUUACAGGCACGCGCCACCAUGCCCAGCUUAUUUUUGUAUCUUUAGUAGUGAUGGGGGUUUCGCUAUUUGGCUAGGCUGGUCUUGAACUCCUGUCCUCAGGUUAUCCUCCUGCCUCAGCCUCCCAAAGUGCUAGGAUCACAGGUGUUAGCCACCUUGCUCGGACUGUUUUAGCGUUAACGUGGGUCAGUUGUGCCUGAAUUCUACAGGGAGGAAGGUAUAAUGAGUCAUGCCUGACUCCCCAUUCCCGUCAUGGCCUGAACUAGUUCUUUGGGUUAACUUUAUAAUGCCCUUGGCCUAGAGGGGGGUUCAUUCAGUUGGUUCAGAGGCUUAGAAUUUUAUUUUUAGUUUACAAACCCAAGAGCCCUACUUAAUUUGCAAUAUAAAAUAUGAUUGCCAAGCAUAUUGAAAUACUCAGAUUAUCUGGUCUGAGUGCAGUGGUGUUUGCAACUAAUUGAUCACACCAGGUACAGAUUUCUUUGUUCCUUCUCCAUGCCCCCUGCUUCACUUG
RNAcentral lists this long non-coding RNA (685 nucleotides) under Homo sapiens (human). Its description in RNAcentral is "HSALNT0078738". The stretch from base 596 to 685 matches the Rfam family "Y RNA", at positions 1 to 85 of the family's 96-position model. The record is from RNAcentral. Lineage: Eukaryota; Metazoa; Chordata; Mammalia; Primates; Hominidae.